This 25-nucleotide non-coding RNA is filed under the name Rattus norvegicus (Norway rat). Lineage: Eukaryota; Metazoa; Chordata; Mammalia; Rodentia; Muridae. The record is from RNAcentral.
UGACCAGUGCCUCAUUUUACAGACC